CGGCGAGUGAAGCGGCAAAAGCUCAAAUUUGAAAUCUGGCACCUUCGGUGUCCGAGUUGUAAUUUGAAGAUUGUAACCUUGGGGUUGGCUCUUGUCUAUGUUUCUUGGAACAGGACGUCACAGAGGGUGAGAAUCCCGUGCGAUGAGAUGCCCAAUCCUAUGUAAGGUGCUUUCGAAGAGUCGAGUUGUUUGGGAAUGCAGCUCUAAGUGGGUGGUAAAUUCCAUCUAAAGCUAAAUAUUGGCGAGAGACCGAUAGCGAACAAGUACAGUGAUGGAAAGAUGAAAAGAACUUUGAAAAGAGAGUGAAAAAGUACGUGAAAUUGUUGAAAGGGAAGGGUUUGAGAUCAGACUCGAUAUUUUGUGAGCCUUGCCUUCGUGGCGGGGUGACCCGCAGCUUAUCGGGCCAGCAUCGGUUUGGGCGGUAGGAUAAUGGCGUAGGAAUGUGACUUUGCUUCGGUGAAGUGUUAUAGCCUGCGUUGAUGCUGCCUGCCUAGACCGAGGACUGCGAUUUUAUCAAGGAUGCUGGCAUAAUGAUCCCAAACCGCCC
This 547-nucleotide ribosomal RNA is filed under the name Meyerozyma caribbica. Its description in RNAcentral is "eukaryotic LSU rRNA". It matches the Rfam family "Eukaryotic large subunit ribosomal RNA", at positions 87 to 650 of the family's 3401-position model. Lineage: Eukaryota; Fungi; Ascomycota; Pichiomycetes; Serinales; Debaryomycetaceae. The record is from RNAcentral.